CCCCAAACCUAAAUCCUCUCACACACUCCCUCCGCCGCCGCCCGCUAGCUAGCAGCCCACACGCCGCCGACCACCCGCCGUCUCCAGCACGCCGUCACCUUUAUACUUCAUCCUCCUGCACCCCCACUGCUUAGGCCCCGAACACUUCUAACCCUAGCUUGUGCGCUGGAGUUCGGGGAGAGGCCAAGGCGCGGUGGUGGACGCCGCCAUCCCUCUCAGAUCCGGGGCUGAGAGAGGGAGGGAAGGAGAGGUGGGUCACCUUCAAGAGAGAGCACUCGCACCCUCGCUCGUCAGUCGUCACCCAGGGGCCGCCACCAUCGCCACCACGCCAUGGGUUUCCUCCGAUUUGCGCUCGCCGAUUCGUUUGAAGAAGGAUAUGGCCGUUGACUGCUGGUGCUUCCCUUCCCCGGGCAUUCAGAUCAGCCAUGACUUGGGAUAGUACUUCUAUCCAGCAAGCAGAGUUUUGGAUGUGAGCUCCAGCUCAAGCAGAGCAUCAAAAACAGGGGCUCUAUCUGCUAAUGGGGUAGCCGGAAAUGCAGUCUAAGAGAUACAUCUCGUGUGAUUUCUGGAUAUGAGAACUUGAGAAGAACAAGCUUGAUGCUAUUAUUGGAAAAAAUAAUCUAUUCUACAGGAUUCUUCUUUGCAUCCCAUACACAUAGACGGAGUGGGAGGCUGCCGCAGCGGUGCUGGACUUGGAGCCCAAGCCAUCCGCUGCCGCCAACAGGUGCUGACAGUAUGAUGCCUUCAGAAUUGGCUCUCAGAACUUUCAACCAAGAUUAGAGCUAGCAUACAGUUUGUAGUUUAUAGUCGUACUCAUACUCAAUGAGUCCCUACCUCGGCUUCUAGGCAAGAUAUUCUUUAAUUUUAGUUGAUUAGCAACCAGUAUUGUUCAGGAAUUUUGAGUGGCACACAUCCUGGUCUGGCGAGCCGAUGACCAGACAUCAUUUGUCAAGGAAGCAAAAAGGACUACACUCACAAGGAACCAUGAAGCCAAUGAUCCACGUCAACUAGAUGUUUUAGCUUUCAUUUUGUACAACUGAUGUCUCAUACUUGCAUCUUUUGGUUGUCCUUUUGUAAACCUGAUGUAUGGUUUCUUGGUGGUUUUGUUUAGAACAGGUUGAAGUGUAUGUAUGUGCCAAUUAGUUAAUGGAAUAAAAAAUGUUUGGUGCUCCCGAUUUGAGCUUGACGUAUGGUGUUUGGG
Molecule: ribosomal RNA, 1201 nt
Filed under: Triticum aestivum (bread wheat)
Lineage: Eukaryota; Viridiplantae; Streptophyta; Magnoliopsida; Poales; Poaceae
Description: partial small subunit ribosomal RNA
Source: RNAcentral